Molecule: ribosomal RNA, 410 nt
Filed under: uncultured Actinomycetes bacterium
Lineage: Bacteria; Bacillati; Actinomycetota; Actinomycetes
Description: bacterial SSU rRNA
Rfam family: Bacterial small subunit ribosomal RNA
Source: RNAcentral
UGGGGAAUAUUGCGCUAAUGCGCGAAAGCGUGACGCAGCGACGCCGCGUGGGGGAUGAAGGCCCUCGGGUCGUAAACCCCUUUCGGCAGGGACGAAGCGAGAGUGACGGUACCUGCAGAAGAAGUCCCGGCUAACUACGUGCCAGCAGCCGCGGUAACACGUAGGGGACGAGCGUUGUCCGGAUUCAUUGGGCGUAAAGCGCGCGUAGGCGGCCCGGAAAGUCGGUUGUGAAAUCCCGGGGCUCAACCCCGGGACCGCGUCCGAAACUUCCGAGCUCGAGGCAGGUAGGGGAGAUCGGAAUUCCUGGUGUAGCGGUGAAAUGCGCAGAUAUCAGGAGGAACACCAGUGGCGAAGGCGGCUUCCUGGCCCGUUCUUGACGCUGAGGCGCGAAAGCUAGGGGAGCAAACGGG